Molecule: non-coding RNA, 444 nt
Organism: Oryctolagus cuniculus (rabbit)
Lineage: Eukaryota; Metazoa; Chordata; Mammalia; Lagomorpha; Leporidae
Source: RefSeq, a predicted model, not a curated record
AUUGCGCUCAAUAGCCUCCGCAAAGGGGCGGAGCUCCGGGUCUCGGUCCGAGCGCUUCCGAAAGAAAUGCCGCGGCAGGAUUGGUGGAAACAAGAGCGGGACGUAUCAGCGGCGAGAGGAGGCGGGCACUUCCGCCGAGGUUGCCCAAUCACAGAGGUGAGGGCAGUUUCUAUAAAUGCUUGAGCCGUGCCGGCACCCGCUCUUUUGGGGUUGGGUAGCGAGGCCGGUCGGCUGCUGCCUGCUGUCUGUGGGCCUGCCUGGGCGUCUCUCCGGGUAGUGGAGGGGGUCGCCGGCCCCGGCGUGGGGUCCCCCUCCGUGCCCUGCGCGCCGUCGCUGCAGGGUCGCCUGGAGCGGGCUGCGGACGUGGCGGGACCCGGCGGUAAGGCGGGCGUGUGUCGUGUGUCUGGGUAGCCCGGUAAUAAAGCGAGGGUGCCGAGCCCUCUC